This 274-nucleotide ribosomal RNA is filed under the name uncultured bacterium. RNAcentral's name for it is "partial 16S ribosomal RNA". It matches the Rfam family "Bacterial small subunit ribosomal RNA", at positions 523 to 796 of the family's 1533-position model. The record is from RNAcentral.
AUACGGAGGGUGCGAGCGUUAAUAGGAAUUACUGGGCGUAAAGCGCACGUAGGCGGCUGGGUAAGUCGGAUGUGAAAGCCCCGGGCUCAACCCAGGAACUGCAUUCGAUACUGCCUGACUAGAGUAUGGUAGAGGGAAGUGGAAUUUCCGGUGUAGCGGUGAAAUGCGUAGAUAUCGGAAGGAACACCAGUGGCGAAGGCGACUUCCUGGGCCAAUACUGACGCUGGGGUGCGAAAGCGUGGGGAGCAAACAGGAUUAGAAACCCCGGUAGUCC